Molecule: ribosomal RNA, 301 nt
Filed under: uncultured bacterium
Lineage: Bacteria
Description: partial 16S ribosomal RNA
Rfam family: Bacterial small subunit ribosomal RNA
Source: RNAcentral
CAGCAGCCGCGGUAAUACGUAGGUGGCAAGCGUUGUCCGGAAUUAUUGGGCGUAAAGCGCGCGCAGGCGGAUCAGUCAGUCUGUCUUAAAAGUUCGGGGCUUAACCCCGUGAUGGGAUGGAAACUGCUGAUCUAGAGUAUCGGAGAGGAAAGUGGAAUUCCUAGUGUAGCGGUGAAAUGCGUAGAUAUUAGGAAGAACACCAGUGGCGAAGGCGACUUUCUGGACGAAAACUGACGCUGAGGCGCGAAAGCCAGGGGAGCGAACGGGAUUAGAUACCCCAGUAGUCCCUGUCUCUUAUACC